UUAAAAAUAUUAAACUCAUCUGAACGGGAGAAGAAAAAUAUUUGGGAUUGAUCGCGGGACGAAAAUAUGCCGGAAAGGUCAAAAAUCGCGUAAACCGACCAAGAAGCUCGAGGUGUCCCUAUGCAUAUGGCCAGGACGUUCUGUCUAUCACAUCAGCAGCUGAGUGUCAACACAAGAAGGAGGUGUAGACGUGCAUGAAAGCUGAACAUGCAGCUUGACACAUAGAAGCACGAGGUGGA
Molecule: long non-coding RNA, 239 nt
Filed under: Brassica napus (rape)
Lineage: Eukaryota; Viridiplantae; Streptophyta; Magnoliopsida; Brassicales; Brassicaceae
Description: long non-coding RNA (BNAP_LNC006252)
Source: RNAcentral